AUUGAACGCUGGCGGCAGGCCUAACACAUGCAAGUCGAGCGGAUGAAGGGAGCUUGCUCCUGGAUUCAGUGGCGGACGGGUGAGUAAUGCCUAGGAAUCUGCCUGGUAGUGGGGGAUAACGUCCGGAAACGGGCGCUAAUAUCGCAUACGUCCUGAGGGAGAAAGUGGGGGAUCUUCGGACCUCACGCUAUCAGAUGAGCCUAGGUCGGAUUAGCUAGCUGGUGGGGUAAAGGCCUACCAAGGCGACGAUCCGUAACUGGUCUGAGAGGAUGAUCAGUCACACUGGAACUGAGACACGGUCCAGACUCCUACGGGAGGCAGCAGUGGGGAAUAUUGGACAAUGGGCGAAAGCCUGAUCCAGCCAUGCCGCGUGUGUGAAGAAGGUCUUCGGAUUGUAAAGCACUUUAAGUUGGGAGGAAGGGCAGUAAGUUAAUACCUUGCUGUUUUGACGUUACCAACAGAAUAAGCACCGGCUAACUUCGUG
RNAcentral lists this ribosomal RNA (484 nucleotides) under uncultured bacterium. Its description in RNAcentral is "partial 16S ribosomal RNA". It matches the Rfam family "Bacterial small subunit ribosomal RNA", at positions 30 to 507 of the family's 1533-position model. The record is from RNAcentral.